ACGGGAGGCAGCAGUGGGGAAUAUUGCACAAUGGGCGCAAGCCUGAUGCAGCGAUGCCGCGUGAGGGAAGAAGGUUUUCGGAUUGUAAACCUCUGUCAACAGGGACGAAAAUGACGGUACCUGUGAAGGAAGCUCCGGCUAACUACGUGCCAGCAGCCGCGGUAAUACGGAGGAUGCGAGCGUUAUCCGGAUUUAUUGGGUUUAAAGGGUGCGCAGGCGGCACGUUAAGUCAGCGGUGAAAUGUCGGGGCUCAACCCGGGCACUGCCGUUGAAACUGGCGAGCUUGAGUACGGAUGAAGUCGGCGGAAUGUGAUGUGUAGCGGUGAAAUGCUUAGAUAUGUCACAGAACACCGAUUGCGAAGGCAGCUGACUAAUCCGCAACUGACGCUCAGGCACGAAAGCGUGGGGAUCGAACAGGAUUAGAUACCCUGGUA
This 434-nucleotide ribosomal RNA is filed under the name uncultured Ruminococcus sp. RNAcentral describes it as "partial 16S ribosomal RNA". It matches the Rfam family "Bacterial small subunit ribosomal RNA", at positions 341 to 792 of the family's 1533-position model. Lineage: Bacteria; Bacillati; Bacillota; Clostridia; Eubacteriales; Oscillospiraceae. The record is from RNAcentral.